GAUGAACGCUAGCGGCAGGCCUAACACAUGCAAGUCGAGGGGGAAGUUACUUUCGGGUAACAGAGACCGGCGUACGGGUGCGUAACGCGUAUACAAUCUGCCUUUCACUGGGGGAUAGCCCGAAGAAAUUUGGAUUAAUACCCCAUAGUAUAGUAAUACGGCAUCGUGAUACUAUUAAAGCUUAGGUGGUGAAAGAUGAGUAUGCGUUCUAUUAGUUAGUUGGAGAGGUAACGGCUCCCCAAGGCGAUGAUAGAUAGGGGUUCUGAGAGGGAUGUCCCCCACACUGGUACUGAGAUACGGACCAGACUCCUACGGGAGGCAGCAGUGAGGAAUAUUGGACAAUGAUCGGAAGACUGAUCCAGCCAUGCCGCGUGCAGGAUGAAGGUCUUAUGGAUUGUAAACUGCUUUUGUAAGGGAAGAAUAAGGGCUACGUGUAGUUUGAUGACGGUACCUUACGAAUAAGCAUCGGCUAACUCCGUGCCAGCAGCCGCGGUAAUACGGAGGAUGCGAGCGUUAUCCGGAAUCAUUGGGUUUAAAGGGUCUGUAGGCGGGCUGGUAAGUCAGAGGUGAAAGCGCUCAGCUCAACUGAGCAACUGCCUUUGAAACUGUUGGUCUUGAAUGGUUGUGAAGUAGUUGGAAUGUGUAGUGUAGCGGUGAAAUGCUUAGAUAUUACACAGAACACCGAUAGCGAAGGCAUAUUACUAACAAUUGAUUGACGCUGAUGGACGAAAGCGUGGGGAGCGAACAGG
This 749-nucleotide ribosomal RNA is filed under the name Capnocytophaga ochracea. Its description in RNAcentral is "bacterial SSU rRNA". It matches the Rfam family "Bacterial small subunit ribosomal RNA", at positions 28 to 776 of the family's 1533-position model. The record is from RNAcentral. Lineage: Bacteria; Pseudomonadati; Bacteroidota; Flavobacteriia; Flavobacteriales; Flavobacteriaceae.